This 429-nucleotide ribosomal RNA is filed under the name Bacteroidota bacterium. Its description in RNAcentral is "Bacteroidetes bacterium partial 16S ribosomal RNA". It matches the Rfam family "Bacterial small subunit ribosomal RNA", at positions 355 to 776 of the family's 1533-position model. The record is from RNAcentral. Lineage: Bacteria; Pseudomonadati; Bacteroidota.
UAGGGAAUCUUCCGCAAUGGACGCAAGUCUGACGGAGCAACGCCGCGUGAGUGAAGAAGGAUUUCGGUUCGUAAAACUCUGUUGUUAGAGAAGAACAGCGCAUAGAGUAACUGUUAUGCGUGUGACGGUAUCUAACCAGAAAGCCACGGCUAACUACGUGCCAGCAGCCGCGGUAAUACGUAGGUGGCAAGCGUUGUCCGGAUUUAUUGGGCGUAAAGCGAGCGCAGGCGGUCAAUUAAGUCUGAUGUGAAAGCCCCCGGCUCAACCGGGGAGGGUCAUUGGAAACUGGUUGACGUGAGUGGAGAAGAGGAGAGGGGAAUUCCAUGUGUAGCGGUGAAAUGCGUAGAUAUAUGGAGGAACACCAGUGGCGAAGGCGACUCUCUGGUCUGUAACUGACGCUGAGGCUCGAAAGCGUGGGGAGCGAACAGG